UUGGCAUCCGCCCAAUCCCGAUUUAAUCCGUCCGCUAUUCGCCUAUUCUCCAGAAAAAAGGUAAACAUAGCUUCGUUUCCUUUUCCACAGUAAGUUUGAAAAUUGGUUGAUAGGUGGCGUGGCGACUAGUUUGUGGUUGGUAUUGAAAUUUCUUCGAUUAUCGAUUAUCGCUAUGCCUUUAGUGUUUUAGGUGAUUCCAGGUUCUACUGACUUGGACAUUUAUUAUUUAAGUCCGAAUGGUCAUUAUUAAAUUUAAAAAAAUGUUUAGCUAAAUUUCUGUGUCUAACAAUAAAAACUUAUUUUAUUUAUUGGGUUCUACUGUCCAGUGCUGCAGUCCUAGUGACGGUAAUACUUGUUUAAGGUUCUACUGUCCUAUCUUCAAAAUUAAUAUGCGAAAACAAUUGAAAUUAUGUCAUUCUGGCCGCCGUUCUACUGUCUUCUGGUAGCAGUGGCGAUAACCGUUUCAAACGCAUUUUUUUUAUUUAUUAUAUUUUAGUGUCCAUUGUCCUGGUUAUGAUGACGGUAAUACUGACCAUGGGUUCUACUGACUUUCACUUCACAAUUAAUACAAAAAAAUAUUUUAAAAUUUU
Daphnia pulicaria is the source of this 590-nucleotide long non-coding RNA. RefSeq lists it as uncharacterized. The transcript has 2 exons. The record is from RefSeq and is a predicted model, not a curated record. Lineage: Eukaryota; Metazoa; Arthropoda; Branchiopoda; Diplostraca; Daphniidae.